UACGUAGGUGGCAAGCGUUAUCCGGACUUAUUGGGCGUAAAGAGAACGCAGGCGGUCUUUUAAGUCUGAUGUGAAAGCCUUCGGCUUAACCGGAGUAGUGCAUUGGAAACUGGGAGACUUGAGUGCAGAAGAGGAGAGUGGAACUCCAUGUGUAGCGGUGAAAUGCGUAGAUAUAUGGAAGAACACCAGUGGCGAGAGCGGCUCUCUGGUCUGUAACUGACGCUGAGGUUCGAAAGCGUGGGUAGCAAACAGG
Molecule: ribosomal RNA, 253 nt
Filed under: uncultured bacterium
Lineage: Bacteria
Description: partial 16S ribosomal RNA
Rfam family: Bacterial small subunit ribosomal RNA
Source: RNAcentral